This 389-nucleotide ribosomal RNA is filed under the name uncultured bacterium. RNAcentral's name for it is "bacterial SSU rRNA". It matches the Rfam family "Bacterial small subunit ribosomal RNA", at positions 29 to 417 of the family's 1533-position model. The record is from RNAcentral.
AUUGAACGCUGGCGGCAUGCCUUACACAUGCAAGUCGAACGGCAGCACGGGAGCAAUCCUGGUGGCGAGUGGCGAACGGGUGAGUAAUAUAUCGGAACGUGCCCGGUCGUGGGGGAUAACGUAGCGAAAGCUACGCUAAUACCGCAUACGAUCUACGGAUGAAAGCGGGGGAUCGCAAGACCUCGCGCGAUUGGAGCGGCCGAUAUCAAAUUAGGUAGUUGGUGAGGUAAAGGCUCACCAAGCCGACGAUCUGUAGCUGGUCUGAGAGGACGACCAGCCACACUGGGACUGAGACACGGCCCAGACUCCUACGGGAGGCAGCAGUGGGGAAUUUUGGACAAUGGGGGCGAACCCUCGAUCCAGCAAUGCCGCGUGCAGGAUGAAGGCUC